RNAcentral lists this ribosomal RNA (1512 nucleotides) under Salmonella enterica subsp. enterica serovar Eko. Its description in RNAcentral is "bacterial SSU rRNA". It matches the Rfam family "Bacterial small subunit ribosomal RNA". Lineage: Bacteria; Pseudomonadati; Pseudomonadota; Gammaproteobacteria; Enterobacterales; Enterobacteriaceae. The record is from RNAcentral.
AAAUUGAAGAGUUUGAUCAUGGCUCAGAUUGAACGCUGGCGGCAGGCCUAACACAUGCAAGUCGAACGGUAACAGGAAGCAGCUUGCUGCUUCGCUGACGAGUGGCGGACGGGUGAGUAAUGUCUGGGAAACUGCCUGAUGGAGGGGGAUAACUACUGGAAACGGUGGCUAAUACCGCAUAACGUCGCAAGACCAAAGAGGGGGACCUUCGGGCCUCUUGCCAUCAGAUGUGCCCAGAUGGGAUUAGCUUGUUGGUGAGGUAACGGCUCACCAAGGCGACGAUCCCUAGCUGGUCUGAGAGGAUGACCAGCCACACUGGAACUGAGACACGGUCCAGACUCCUACGGGAGGCAGCAGUGGGGAAUAUUGCACAAUGGGCGCAAGCCUGAUGCAGCCAUGCCGCGUGUAUGAAGAAGGCCUUCGGGUUGUAAAGUACUUUCAGCGGGGAGGAAGGUGUUGUGGUUAAUAACCGCAGCAAUUGACGUUACCCGCAGAAGAAGCACCGGCUAACUCCGUGCCAGCAGCCGCGGUAAUACGGAGGGUGCAAGCGUUAAUCGGAAUUACUGGGCGUAAAGCGCACGCAGGCGGUCUGUCAAGUCGGAUGUGAAAUCCCCGGGCUCAACCUGGGAACUGCAUUCGAAACUGGCAGGCUUGAGUCUUGUAGAGGGGGGUAGAAUUCCAGGUGUAGCGGUGAAAUGCGUAGAGAUCUGGAGGAAUACCGGUGGCGAAGGCGGCCCCCUGGACAAAGACUGACGCUCAGGUGCGAAAGCGUGGGGAGCAAACAGGAUUAGAUACCCUGGUAGUCCACGCCGUAAACGAUGUCUACUUGGAGGUUGUGCCCUUGAGGCGUGGCUUCCGGAGCUAACGCGUUAAGUAGACCGCCUGGGGAGUACGGCCGCAAGGUUAAAACUCAAAUGAAUUGACGGGGGCCCGCACAAGCGGUGGAGCAUGUGGUUUAAUUCGAUGCAACGCGAAGAACCUUACCUGGUCUUGACAUCCACGGAAGUUUUCAGAGAUGAGAAUGUGCCUUCGGGAACCGUGAGACAGGUGCUGCAUGGCUGUCGUCAGCUCGUGUUGUGAAAUGUUGGGUUAAGUCCCGCAACGAGCGCAACCCUUAUCCUUUGUUGCCAGCGGUCCGGCCGGGAACUCAAAGGAGACUGCCAGUGAUAAACUGGAGGAAGGUGGGGAUGACGUCAAGUCAUCAUGGCCCUUACGACCAGGGCUACACACGUGCUACAAUGGCGCAUACAAAGAGAAGCGACCUCGCGAGAGCAAGCGGACCUCAUAAAGUGCGUCGUAGUCCGGAUUGGAGUCUGCAACUCGACUCCAUGAAGUCGGAAUCGCUAGUAAUCGUGGAUCAGAAUGCCACGGUGAAUACGUUCCCGGGCCUUGUACACACCGCCCGUCACACCAUGGGAGUGGGUUGCAAAAGAAGUAGGUAGCUUAACCUUCGGGAGGGCGCUUACCACUUUGUGAUUCAUGACUGGGGUGAAGUCGUAACAAGGUAACCGU